Non-coding RNA from Drosophila melanogaster (fruit fly), 546 nucleotides. The record is from Ensembl. NCBI's taxonomy places the organism in Eukaryota, Metazoa, Arthropoda, Insecta, Diptera, Drosophilidae.
AUCAUUGUAAAUGCUGUCGUCUUUAAAAUCGGAUUUAAAUUUGGGGUCGGUACUUUUUCGUUUGAUUCUGGAACUCUGCUGAAUGCAAGGUUGAUCUUGGCUGGCUUGAAGAAUUUGAUAGAAGGUAUUCUUCUGGACCUCCUUAGCAUUACUUCUGGAUGCACAUUGUCUUCUCUUUUGGAUCACGCAGGUGGCAGUUCCGGCUAAAGGAACUUCCGGUGGCGAUGUGAAUGCUUUUCCAAUCGGGACAUUCCGUUUCCGUUGGCAAGUCGGCCAAGCAAGCGUACUUUGAUCAAAUUUUUGAAUACUGUACAAAACAUUCGAAAUCGAGUUGGGUAGGUAUUUGGCAUUUGGAUUUAAAGCAAUUGGAUAAUGUAGCCUCUCCAUAAACGAGCAAUUUGGAUUUUAAAAUACUCGGGAACUGAAAUUUUGAUUCAGUUUUAUUACGACAUUGAACACAAAAUAAAUUUCAAUUGCCUUUAAAGAACAAGGAAGGACUUGAAAUGAGAAUCUUUAAGUGCUAGUAUGUUGGAUAAUAAAUUAACU